Odocoileus virginianus texanus is the source of this 270-nucleotide non-coding RNA. The record is from RefSeq and is a predicted model, not a curated record. NCBI's taxonomy places the organism in Eukaryota, Metazoa, Chordata, Mammalia, Artiodactyla, Cervidae.
CAGUAUUCUUGCCUUUAUAAUCCCAUGAACAGAGGAGCCUGGGGAUGGUCAAUAUGGUGGCAGAAUCCAGCACAACUGAAGCAACUAAAGAUGCAGCAUACACGUGGAAGGACCUAGAGACUGUCCUACAGAGUGAAGCUAUGGGUACUGUAUUCUAAAUGUAUCCGUUGAAGUUACUAUCAGAAUCCUAAAGGUAGGGCUUCUCAGGUCAUGCAAUGGUGAAGAAUCCACCUGCCAAUGCAGGAGAAGCAAGAGACAGGUUCAACCCCU